GAUGAACGCUGGCGGCGUGCCUAAUACAUGCAAGUCGAGCGAACAGAUGAGGAGCUUGCUCCUCUGACGUUAGCGGCGGACGGGUGAGUAACACGUGGAUAACCUACCUAUAAGACUGGGAUAACUUCGGGAAACCGGAGCUAAUACCGGAUAAUAUAUUGAACCGCAUGGUUCAAUAGUGAAAGACGGUUUUGCUGUCACUUAUAGAUGGAUCCGCGCCGCAUUAGCUAGUUGGUAAGGUAACGGCUUACCAAGGCAACGAUGCGUAGCCGACCUGAGAGGGUGAUCGGCCACACUGGAACUGAGACACGGUCCAGACUCCUACGGGAGGCAGCAAUAGGGAAUCUUCCGCAAUGGGCGAAAGCCUGACGGAGCAACGCCGCGUGAGUGAUGAAGGUCUUCGGAUCGUAAAACUCUGUUAUUAGGGAAGAACAAAUGUGUAAGUAACUAUGCACGUCUUGGCGGUACCUAAUCAGAAAGCCACGGCUAACUACGUG
RNAcentral lists this ribosomal RNA (497 nucleotides) under uncultured bacterium. RNAcentral's name for it is "partial 16S ribosomal RNA". It matches the Rfam family "Bacterial small subunit ribosomal RNA", at positions 28 to 507 of the family's 1533-position model. The record is from RNAcentral.